RNAcentral lists this small RNA (134 nucleotides) under Pseudomonas kuykendallii. RNAcentral describes it as "Pseudomonas rpsL leader". It matches the Rfam family "Pseudomonas rpsL leader". The record is from RNAcentral. Lineage: Bacteria; Pseudomonadati; Pseudomonadota; Gammaproteobacteria; Pseudomonadales; Pseudomonadaceae.
GGCCCGGGCUUUGCCUUGACGGGGAGCGUGCGUCUCUUUAGACUCAUGCACCCCUAAAUUUGGCAGGGCACGUGCUCUGCCAUUUUGCUUUUCUUAGGGUAAUAGCGUCGAAAGACAACAGUGGAGCUUAUAGA